CACCACCCCCUCCCUUAACUUGGUGGCCUCCCAAGUCAACAGAGGACGGCAGGACUCCCUCCAAGAAGCAAGAGUUUGCCUGAGCACCCUGCAGAGGCCGAUGAUUUCAGACUUUCGCUGAUAGCUAAACUUUAUGGCCACAGUGGGUGAGGAUGAACUUUGCCUCUGACCUGGAUCCACAAUUCAGAGUUUUCUUUUU
Long non-coding RNA from Lacerta agilis (Sand lizard), 199 nucleotides. RefSeq lists it as uncharacterized. NCBI's taxonomy places the organism in Eukaryota, Metazoa, Chordata, Lepidosauria, Squamata, Lacertidae. The transcript has 2 exons. The record is from RefSeq and is a predicted model, not a curated record.